This 706-nucleotide long non-coding RNA is filed under the name Capsicum annuum. Its description in RNAcentral is "long non-coding RNA (CANN_LNC004396)". The record is from RNAcentral. Lineage: Eukaryota; Viridiplantae; Streptophyta; Magnoliopsida; Solanales; Solanaceae.
CUUUAAUUUCUUUUUCACCAUUAACACCAUUAACAUCAUUAUUUCACUAUUAACAUCAAUAGCUUAAUUCGAAUUUAACAAGAAACUGAAAGAAAAUUCACCCACAUAGAUGAGAUAUGCAAUCGUAUAAGAUAGAAAAUUCACCAGAUUUCAAUUUUUUCGAUGAGAGUGGAACGUUUUUAAUCAUAAAUUUUUUCAAUGAGAGUGAGACACCCACAGUAGUCACAGAAAUUUACCAACAAAAUUCCACCAUUGAAAACUGAACGAGAUCAACUCAAGUUAAACCGAAACCCAACAAGUAUCACUCAAAAGAAGAGCAAAAAUCAAAUCUUUAAACAAUAAACAUUGAGCUAAACAAAUCUGUCCGUACAAAAAUUGAGCACACGCAAAUCAGAUAAAAUCGCAAGAGAUCUGCUCAACCAUAAUAAAACAAAAACAAAAAGAAGAACAAGUUCGUAAUCAAAUCAAAUAAAAGUAGUGUAAGAUUACAAAAUCAAGAAUUCCGAAACGAAGAACACGGAGCUAGAUAAAUCAACCAGUCUGGUGCUCUAAUCGGGAAUUAGUCAGGUGCAUAAGCUAGCUCGAAUGGUAGUGAGAGGAUGAGCUACCAUGACUGAAAAAUUUGAUAAAGAAAGAAGGGGGUGGGGGGUUACAAAGAAGAUGAUAAUGAGGGUGGGGUUACGGCUGGGAAAGAAGGGAAGGGUGG